GACGAACGCUGGCGGCGUGCUUAACACAUGCAAGUCGAACGGAAAGGCCCUGCUUGCAGGGUACUCGAGUGGCGAACGGGUGAGUAACACGUGGGUGAUCUGCCCUGCACUUCGGGAUAAGCCUGGGAAACUGGGUCUAAUACCGGAUAGGAGCCAUUUUUAGUGUGAUGGUUGGAAAGUUUUUUCGGUGUAGGAUGAGCUCGCGGCCUAUCAGCUUGUUGGUGGGGUAAUGGGCUACCAAGGCGGCGACGGGUAGCCGGCCUGGGAGGGUGGACGGCCACAAUGGGACUGAGAUACGGCCCAGACUCCUACGGGAGGCAGCAGUGGGGAAUAUUGCACAAUGGGCGCAAGCCUGAUGCAGCGACGCCGCGUGGGGGAUGACGGGCUUCGGGUUGGAAACUCCUUUCGCUAGGGACGAAGCUUUUUGUGACGGUACCUAGAUAAGAAGCACCGGCUAACUACGUG
RNAcentral lists this ribosomal RNA (465 nucleotides) under uncultured bacterium. Its description in RNAcentral is "partial 16S ribosomal RNA". It matches the Rfam family "Bacterial small subunit ribosomal RNA", at positions 28 to 507 of the family's 1533-position model. The record is from RNAcentral.